CGGUGGAGCAUGUGGUUAAUUCGACGCAACGCGAAGAACCUUACCUGGGCUCGAACGGCUUCGGCAAGCCGGUAGAAAUACUGGCCCUCCAGCAAUGGAUCGGAGUCGAGGUGCUGCAUGGCUGUCGUCAGCUCGUGUCGUGAGAUGUUGGGUUAAGUCCCGCAACGAGCGCAACCCUUGUCCUGUGUUGCCAUCAUUAAGUUGGGCACUCUCAGGAGACCGCCAGCGAUAAGCUGGAGGAAGGUGGGAUGACGUCAAGUCAUCAUGGCCUUUAUGUCCAGGGCUACACACGUGCUACAAUGACCGGUACAAUACGACGCCAACCCGCGAGGGGGAGCAAAUCGUAAAAAACCGGCCUCAGUUCGGAUUGCAGGCUGCAACUCGCCUGCAUGAAGCUGGAAUCGCUAGUAAUGGCAGAUCAGCAUGCUGCCGUGAAUACGUUCCCGGGCCUU
Molecule: ribosomal RNA, 452 nt
Filed under: uncultured Acidobacteriaceae bacterium
Lineage: Bacteria; Pseudomonadati; Acidobacteriota; Terriglobia; Terriglobales; Acidobacteriaceae
Description: bacterial SSU rRNA
Rfam family: Bacterial small subunit ribosomal RNA
Source: RNAcentral